This 119-nucleotide ribosomal RNA is filed under the name Triticum dicoccoides. Lineage: Eukaryota; Viridiplantae; Streptophyta; Magnoliopsida; Poales; Poaceae. RNAcentral also lists the same sequence under 1 other name. The record is from RNAcentral.
GGAUGCGAUCAUACCAGCACUAAAGCACCGGAUCCCAUCAGAACUCUGAAGUUAAGCGUGCUUGGGCGAGAGUAGUACUAGGAUGGGUGACCUCCUGGAAAGUCCUCGUGUUGCAUUCC